CAGUAGCCGCGGGAAUACGAAGGGGGCUAGCGUUGCUCGGAAUGACUGGGCGUAAAGGGCGCGUAGGCGGAUUGUUUAGUUAGGCGUGAAAUUCCUGGGCUUAACCUGGGAACUGCAUCUUAUACUGCGUAGCUGGAGUGCAGUAGAGGGUAGUGGAAUUUCCGGUGUAGCGGUGAAAUGCGUAGAUAUCGGAAGGAACACCAGUGGCGAAGGCGGCUACCUGGACUGACACUGACACUGAGGCGCGAAAGCGUGGGGAGCAAACAGGAUUAGAUUACCCCCGUAGUCCCUGUCUCUUAUU
RNAcentral lists this ribosomal RNA (301 nucleotides) under uncultured bacterium. Its description in RNAcentral is "partial 16S ribosomal RNA". It matches the Rfam family "Bacterial small subunit ribosomal RNA", at positions 509 to 808 of the family's 1533-position model. The record is from RNAcentral.